Non-coding RNA from Callorhinchus milii (elephant shark), 80 nucleotides. NCBI's taxonomy places the organism in Eukaryota, Metazoa, Chordata, Chondrichthyes, Chimaeriformes, Callorhinchidae. The record is from the annotation of a RefSeq genome assembly.
GGUCUUGUAGCUCAGUGGUGAGAGCGCUCGCCUCAUAAGCGAGAGGACCCAGGUUCGAUUCCUGGACAGGGGCGAAACCU